RNA transcript from Bombyx mori (domestic silkworm), 6662 nucleotides. It is a transcript of the gene named MICAL-like protein 1, with no coding region annotated. Lineage: Eukaryota; Metazoa; Arthropoda; Insecta; Lepidoptera; Bombycidae. The transcript has 15 exons. The record is from RefSeq and is a predicted model, not a curated record.
CAAGUAUCAACAAAUUGAAUGGAUUUCGGAAUGCCAAGUGCCAACUAACCAACCAAACAGCAAAGCGCAAACUACAAUUUUAAAGUUUUAUAAAAAAUACAAUGGUUGAAAUAAUAUUAAACUUUUCUCAAUUUCAUUAAUAAAAAAAUGCUUAAAAUCUGUAAAACUUAUGCGAAUAUAAAUGUAAGAUACAAUAUUAAUAAAUAAAUAAUAAUAUAAGAAAGUUAAAAAAAUUAAUGAAUCAUGUCGGAAAGAAAAGGCACAAAAGCUCUGGAGUUGUGGUGUAAGCGUUUAAUUAAAGAUUGUCCGGAUAUACACAUAGAAAAUAUGACAACAUCUUGGAGAAAUGGAAUGGCAUUUUGUGCUUUAGUUCAUCAUUUUAGGCCAGAUUUGAUUGAUAUGUCGAAAUUAAAACCUGAAAAUAUUUAUGAAAACAAUCAACUAGCAUUUAACAUAGCUGAAAAAUACCUUGGAAUACCUGCAUUAUUGGACCCUGAAGACAUGGUAGAUAAUGACGUUCCGGACAGAUUAUCAAUUUUGACUUAUUUAUCCCAAUUCUACCAACGCCUCAGUCAUACAGUGAACACUAAGGUGUCAGAAAAUGAAUCGAAAGCUUUACCUACAAAAACAACAGAACCACCUACACCAGUAAGAUUUGGCAAGACCGGUCUUGAUAAAUGCACUUCAUGUGGCUUACCUGUUUAUUUAGCUCAACGUCUGAUGGUAGCCCAUAAACUCUACCACAGAAGAUGUUUCCGUUGUUCAAAAUGCUCAGGACACCUGAAUCCUAAGAGUUAUGAAACAGUUGAAGGAUCUGAUUUUACCUGUGAUAGUUGUAAAAAUGAUAAAACUCUAUCUAAACUUUUGAACAACAACAAUGAUCAAAAUCUAAUGGGCAUGUUGGCAUUCACUGAUGUUUUAGAUGAGCCAAAACCAAAAGAUAAUUUGUGUGAAGAUAAAAUUAGUUUCAGGGAAAACAAACGACCACAGUCUGUUCUGGACAAAAUAAGUAUGUUCGAAAAAAAUAUAGAAAAAGAUGUCCCCAUAGAUAACAGGAUGAAUAAUAUUUUAAAAGAAAAUUCCACUCAGAUAAAUAUAGAAGUAAAAACUGAAAUACUGAAUGAGCAUGACCCAAAAACUGUUCUUGAUAGAACAGAGAGUAGUAAUAAACCAAUUAAUAAUUUACCAGACGUAGUAUACAAAAGUAAUGUUAAAAAAUUCAAUUUCUUACAAACACAACUUUCUGACGGUAGCUGCAAUGAAUCAACUGUUGAAGAGAAAACUUUACCUAAAUCUGAACACAAGUUGCAAGAAGAUGUGAGUAUUGAUGUAAAAAGUUUCAACAAAGAUGUUGUCCUAGAAAACAGUGAACCAUUAAUAGUCAAUGAUUAUAACAAUAUAACGGACGAUAGCAGACUAGCGAACAGUGUUAACGUUACACUAAGUAGCACUGAACCGAUUUCUGAAGAGCCUAUCGUAUUAGAACCAGAAAUCAAAAUAAAUGUACCGCCGCGACGUAAAAAGCAAAUGGGUCAAGAUUUUAAAAAGAUAUCAAAACCAAAAGGCGCACCAACUGUUACACCUCAAGAGAACGAAGAGUAUCCUGAUCAUUUGAACCCAUUUUCGGAUGAUGAUGAUGAGGUUCAGGUCUCCCAAAAUCCUUCCAAGACAGUGAGCACUAAUCCUUUCGGCAGCAGCGACGAUGAAAACGAGGAACUACCACCAAUACCACCGAUUUCAAAGCAACCUGAAACACUACCAGUAAAACGUCUCAUAGCCGUCAAUCCAUUUUGGUCCGACGGAGAAGAACCUUCCACAGACGAUGAAAUUGACGACUUAAGCUCAAAGAUGUACAACUCUUCUAUGGCGACGAGCACGCCGAACCUGCCGUCGAGCGCGCCUCGACGUAAGAAACAGAAGGCCCCUCCGCCCCCUGUGGUACUGGUUUCAGAGCCGCAACAGCCGGGCACGUCAAUGGAAGAUGUUGCCAGCCUAUCAUCGCACAGUUCUUACAAUUCUACUGCUAACUCGAGUCACAUGUACGGAAAAAGCACUCCAGUGCAGCUAAGGAAGAACAUAACGGCACCAACUCCUCCUGACAGCAUAUCAACGCUGUCCGAAUGUGCGGGCUCUCUUGAAAAAGGCGUCGAUACAUCCGGUCUCGGAAGUAACAACUCUAGUUUAGUUGGGCGACGAACUAAGGGCCCAGCGCCGGGCCUCCCGCUGCCGGAACGACGCGAAGUGAAACUUCAGAUGUCCCCAGAAGAGUUGCAAGUGCAGCUCGAUCUCCUGGAAACGCAGCAGCUCGGGCUGGAGCGGCAGGGGGUACUCAUCGAGAAGAUGAUACGGGAUAAGUGUGAGGGCGACGAGCCAUCCUCUGUGCCGCAAGAAGAGGUCGAAGAUCUUGUGAUACAACUCUGCGAACUUGUCAACGAGAAGAACGAUCUGUUCAGGAAACAAACGGAACUUAUGUAUAUCCGUCGACAACAACGUCUAGAACAGGAGCAAGCAGAUAUCGAGCACGAGAUUAGAAUAAUCCAAUCGCGUCCAGCGGUCAACCGUAUUGACGCGGAUAAGGCGCGGGAAGAGGAGCUGGUCACGCGGCUCGUGGAGAUAGUACGUCUGCGCGACGAGCUGGUGCAGCAGCUGGACGCGGAGCGGCGCCGCGAGCAGCAGGAGGACCUCGCCAUCGCAGCGUCCAUCGCCAGUAAACGAGCUCAGAGACAAAGCGAAUCAAACAGUUCUUCAAUCAAAUCAGUUGAGGUUGCAGCUCCGAAGAAGAACAAAGUAAAGGAUAAAAUGAAAAAACAAUUCAAAAAAGCAAAACACACAUUAAUUUCAAAGAAAAAGGACGAUUCGCCUGAACACAAAGAAGAAAAAGAACGUAAGAAAUCUAAAUAAAUAGCAGUUACGCGGAUAUUGAUUGAUAUUAACUUUUUUUUUGCUUUGAAAGGUACUGAAAGUACUUGCAAGUAAGACUGAAUCAUUCCACUAAAUAUUUUUUAUUAUUGAUAAAAUGAAAAGUCAAUUAGAUCUUUAAUAUGCAUGGCUCUAGUACUCCAUUCAAUGUAAAAAACAAACUCAGCAAACUACUUUUUUCAUUACCACUAUACAUUAUGUUUUUUUUUUAAAUACUGCUUGUGUGACUGAGGAAGGGAGAUCGACACAUUCAUGCUUAUAUCACUUAAGCACAAAAAUGGAGUAUAGAUGAUUUGACAUAUAUUUAGGAUAAAUCAAUAUCGUUUUCGUGCCAGCGUUAGUAUAUAGUAAAAUACAUAAAAUAAUACAUAAAUUCAUUUAUCCGUAACACACCAGAUAUAAUACAAAAGCUACAUAUAAUGAGUCUUAUUAUAUUAGUGACCAAAUAGUAAUGUUGUUUGACAAUCUUUUGUUUUGUGUUAAUAUAUAUUUUAUAUCAUGUGUAAAUUAACGUAAUUUUUUUAAUUCUUAUUUUGUGUAGAACAAAAAAAUGAAUACCGUUAUACUAAUACGUAUAAAUUUACUUACUUUUGUACUUAACUAACAUAGUAUUAAUAACAUGUUCACAAUAAUUCCAGUAUUAUUUGUACAAUAACAGUAGUAUGUUGUAAUACUUAUUAUUUCUCAUUGAUUAAGUGAAUUAAUUCAAGUCGAAUUUCAAAAGACAUUUAACUAACACCAUAAUAUAUAUUUAUAGUACCUAAUCUUAUAAUUGCAAUAAUUUUAAAUGGUUCCCAGAAGCUCGCAAUUGUUAUUGAACUUUAAAACGCAUCGGUCUAAUGCGCGUAUUCUGAUAGUCGCGUUACUUAAUGUAAACAACUAAACACAAGCAACGGCCUUACCUCGACCUAACUUUGUGUUAACGGUUUACUAAAAAAGAUAGAUAUUUACAGUGGUGGAUUUACACUAGGGCAAUCGAGGCAAGUGCCCGGGGCGGCAAAUUUUUUAGGGCGGCAAAAUUUUGAAAUUAAGUAUUUUUUUAGUCUUAUCAAGAUUGCUCAAUAUAAUUGAUUAAUUCUAUUAAUUAUUAUAAUCAUUUUCUGUUUACUGAUAAUUCAGCAAAUUCAAUUCAUCCAUUAUUUGUGAAUUAUAACUUGGCACUUUUGGUAAAAAUUAAUAAUCAUAAUGAUUUAAUCAAUUUAUUUCCUUGGACAUUUAAAAUAAUUAUCGAUUUUUCCAUUUUCUGGAAUUAAAGAAAUUUAAUUAGUUCUUUUUUUUAUGUAAUAUAAUAUCAUUAUGUGUCGUCACCCCUUAGUGUAAAAUUUAUCAUUGUUCGAAAAAAAAACAAAUAGUUAUUUAUGUUUUUGGAAUAUAUAACAUAUGUUAAAGUUUCUACAAUAAAUUAGUUAUUUUAAUUUUGAAAAAAAUAUAUAAACUAUAAGUUUAGGUAGAAUUCCAGUAUUGGGGCGGAUUUUUUUCCGGUGCCCAGGAGCGGCAUUAAGUCUAAUAAUAGAUAUUUAAUAUAUAAGCCGUCGCUGUCCCUGCGACGUAAAGUUAAAGUUUCAAUUGGAUUGUAGUAUUGUAAAAGUCGAAAUUCCCUUAAACACGCUCCGAAGUAUCUCAUUAAAAAAAAGUUUUGCAGAAGAUACUGUACUCCAUUUAAUUGCGACCGUGCCUUCAAAGGUAAUCAGUGCAUACAUCAGCGAAAGAACUGCUCGCACUUGAGAUUAAAUAAAAACAAAGAUUUAACUUCAAAGCAUUAUAUGUUGAAAUGAUAUCACAUCUUUUAAUAUGUAUAUUUCUCAUCAAUGUCCCAUGUAUCCUUUAAAUUCACUUAACAAUUAAUUUUGAUAAAUUAAUACAAAAUAACCAAUUGAUAUUAAUAAGAAACACUCAGUUGUAUGAAAUUCGUUACAAGAUUCGUGUAGUCUAUACGUUGUUUUAAGUAGUUUAUUAUGACUGAAAUAUACAGGUAAUUUAACUCAUAUACUGACAAGAUAAACUCUAGAUAUCAGCUUCGAGAUUUCAUUUAUUAUCACAUAAACAGCUAAAAAUUUCCAAUAAAAUUAUAUAAUUUAUUUCAACAAACAAGCAGUUCAUUUAUAGAAAUACGAAAAUUUGUCGACAUUUCUGCAAUAUUUUAAUAGUGCAAUUUUAUAUUUCUGUAUUUGUUAAACGAAUCAGAUUGUUGUAUGUAGAAACUUUAAAAAUACAGUUCGCGACAACGUUUGUAAGACAGCCCGAGGGCUGUGAGUAGCCACUCUAUUUAUUGUUUUAUUGUUUUUGUUUGUAAUCUUACAGUAGAAGGGAAAAAAACAACAUAUCAAAUAUGAAACGUUAAUCUGGAAAAAUAGGCAAUACUCGGUAGAACUUAGUUAUCUAUUAUUGCUGUGCAGACUCAAUAAAUGACUUACUUAAACUGUGAACUGCAUUAUUAAAAUUAUAUUAUAAAUUAUUUACUUGUUAUUAAAUUUAAAAAUAUAUUUUUAUACUAGUCUUCUCAUAAUAGUAUGUAGAUGUCCUUACCAUUUAUUGCCUAAAACAAAAGAUAUCUUCGCAGGCCACAAAAUUAAACAAUGGACCUUAUUUAGGCGAAUAUUCUCGAAAUUCACUUUUAGAAUAAUUUUCUAUAAUAUCACUUUGUUUGUACUCUACUUUAACAGAUGUCAAUUAAUUCACAGCCUACAUUAAAGUGUCAACAUACAACCCAAAAAAAAAUCUGAUGUUUAAAAUGCAAUAAUAGGCUAAUUAAUGCCUAUGAAUAGAUAGACAAUUAAUUUUAACUAACACGAGAAAGAUUUUAUUAAGGAAACAGAAUCCUUUUUAUUAAUGUGUUGGUACUGUGUGCUUUAAUGCGAGCUUUUUAACUGCGCAAAAGUUAACUCCAAUUUGUAUGGACUUGGAACAGCUUCCCUUCGUUUGCUAGGGGACUUAGCCGCACUAAGCACACUGAUGUAGGUACCGUUUAGAUCCGCGAAUAUAGGAAUUGGGUCGCAUUUUUGUAAUCCGCGUAUAGUGAAAACGCGAAUGAAGGAAGCGGGAAUAAGAAUCUUUUACUGUACUAUACUAGGUAUAUAAGCACCACUAAAUUUCAGUAAUUUUGUCGCGGUAGUCAACUGGUCUAUACCAGUUGACUACCGCGAACCAUUUGACUACUAGUUGAAAUCCUGGACAUCAUUUAUCGUUGAAUUCCAGGAUCCGUGGGUCCAAACUAUACUCGCCUAAACAUCUUUUUCGUGUUAAUCGUAAGUUUCUGUAUAAAAAAAUGUACCUACCACCACCAUCUACCAUCCAUACCACCACCAUUAUCAUAUAUUAUAUUAUUAUUGUUAGAAAACUGCUAAAUUUAUAACGUUGUUAUACAGCUUGAUUGUUAAAAAUACAGUUAAGUUACUAGGGUAAUCGCCUCUAGUUUUUAAUUGUAUUUGCAUAAUUUUUAUUAUUUAGACAAAUGUUUCUCAGCAUAAUAUGAUUCCGUAUUAUAAUUCUACUUUUAAACGUAAAUAUAUAACGUACGUAUUUUUAUGAUUUUUAGUACUAAAAUUGUAACAGUGUAAAUUCAAAGAAACUACAAAUAAUAUACCAACAUAUGAUUUAUUCAUUUAUUUUAAAAUUAUUCGUUCAAUUAACAUCAACAAAUUUACACACUAACAUUAUUAUACUCGCAGAUUCAAGACACCAGUUAGGUACGUAGGUAAUCUAAGUGCACAAAAGGCACAAAAAUAAACUUCGUUAUCUACCUA